GAUGAACGCUGGCGGCGUGCCUAAUACAUGCAAGUCGAACGAGUUCUUCGGAACUAGUGGCGGACGGGUGAGUAACACGUUGGUACCUACCCCGAAGUGGGGAAUAACUGGCCGAAAGGUCGGCUAAUACCGCAUAAUACCGUAAGGUUAAAGCAGUAAUGCGCUUCGGGAGGGGCCUGCGUCUGAUUAGCUAGUUGGUAGUGUAAUGGACUACCAAGGCGACGAUCAGUAGCUGGAUCGAGAGGUUGACCAGCCACACUGGGACUGAGAUACGGCCCAGACUCCUACGGGAGGCAGCAGGAAGGAAUCUUGCACAAUGGACGAAAGUCUGAUGGAGCAACGCCGCGUGCAGGAUGACGGCCUUCGGGUUGUAAACUGCUUUUAUAUGGGAAGAUUAUGACGGUACCAUAUGAAUAAGGACCGGCUAACUACGUGCCAGCAGCCGCCUUAA
RNAcentral lists this ribosomal RNA (451 nucleotides) under uncultured bacterium. RNAcentral's name for it is "partial 16S ribosomal RNA". It matches the Rfam family "Bacterial small subunit ribosomal RNA", at positions 28 to 523 of the family's 1533-position model. The record is from RNAcentral.